Molecule: long non-coding RNA, 400 nt
Organism: Stegodyphus dumicola
Lineage: Eukaryota; Metazoa; Arthropoda; Arachnida; Araneae; Eresidae
Source: RefSeq, a predicted model, not a curated record
UAACUUAGUUUUAAUUCGGUGAUACAUGUGUUAGUUUUACAAUAUGGAUCAGCUUUCCAUUGUAAUACCAUUUAAGAAAUUAUUAGUUUUACAAAUUAUCUAAUUUAGGAAUGCAGUGUCUGCUCAUUUGGCGUUUAAAAGUGUUUCCAGCUUAUGCAACAUCGUAACCUCCUUGUUCUUGCAUUAUUGCAUACUUCGCAUUUCGAUUUCGAAAGUGGAAAAGAGAUCAGAAGGAUGUUUUCUUACCUUCCAUAACACAUAAAGUUCAAAUUGGAAUAUGCAAAACUAAUAUGGCUGUUGAAAUAUUUUCUCGCCCCGAAUUCCGAUGAGAGUAAAAGACUAGAAAAGUUUUGGCACCGUUCCAAGUUGAAACGUCAAGUCGAAUUUUGUAAAUGCUGUC